GUAUUACAUAGUUUAAAUAAAAAUGUUAAUUUGUGGAAUUAAAGAUUUAGGAAAUUAAUUUUUACA
RNAcentral lists this transfer RNA (66 nucleotides) under Pallenopsis patagonica. RNAcentral's name for it is "tRNA-His". Lineage: Eukaryota; Metazoa; Arthropoda; Pycnogonida; Pantopoda; Pallenopsidae. The record is from RNAcentral.